GUGCAGUGUUUAGCGUUUUCAUGUCCGCCUUUUUCUCCAUCAUCUGUUACAGAGUGAAUGGCCGUGGGAGUUACUUUCAAACAUAUUUUUCACCAAGUAUCAUUUGAAGUCAAGGUUUCAUUCGCUGGAGCGACAUAAGUGUUACCAAAUAGUAUUAUACUACUUCGGUCAUUCUUGAAAAAGAAACCAACCCAGUAUUAUUCACCCUUGACCGCAAAGUAGCGCGUGGUCAACCGACUCUCGACCCUGACCCAUGCCAAGAAGAUUCUGUUCUCAUCUCACCUUGGACUCUUCUGACCGGUGACUUCCAUCCGAUCGAAUGAAAUGUCCGUGACCUGGUUCCACAAUGACCCACAGGAAGAAGAGGUAUUAAAAGCGAAAGUUGAUGUCUGAUGCAAUUACCUUUAAGGCUCGUGAUCUAGAAACGGCGACCGUUCCGGUGCAACUGCAGGUAAAAAGCGAAAAGUUCCUGAAUGAAUUUUUGCAUUCAGCAAUUGCGACUCUUGAAACUUCGAACAAGGUCUCCAAGAAGCUAACAAAAAACAAAUCGAAAAUUUUUAGUAUUUUAGAUCUUCCUUCAGAGGAUGUUUUACACUUUAUGAUGCAAGUACUGAAAAGGAUUUCGCUAGAGAAAUUUACUUAUAAUUCCGCUCGAAGCAACUUUGAUAAAACUACGAAGCACUGAAUUUUGGUUUUGAAGUCUAGUACAGAAGCAUGAUUAUGUCAGAUCAGUUUUUCUGUCGACGUCAGUGAAAACAAAUUCAAACCUCCCUCACACAUACCAUGUCCCUCCCACGUACCAAAAAUAGCUUCUCGGACAGACGAGUUACUUUACCGACAUCCCACUAGAAAGAACCAGAGGCGGAGAAGAAACAGGAAAGAGGCUCAAAACUCACUGUAGGUUUAAGGAGACUAACUGAGUGCGAUUGAGCAGUUUUUGGAGGUUGAUUUUCUCCUAUUUUCUUUAUAUCGCCGAUUAUACUUAAUUCAGUAUCGAAAAAGAGGAUAUUAAAUAAUCAUUGUUAUUUCAUUUUUCUUUUCAAAUGGAUGUAAAAUCAGAAUAAAAAAACGAAGAUAAAAUUUA
Molecule: RNA transcript, 1084 nt
Organism: Stegodyphus dumicola
Lineage: Eukaryota; Metazoa; Arthropoda; Arachnida; Araneae; Eresidae
Source: RefSeq, a predicted model, not a curated record